Molecule: ribosomal RNA, 429 nt
Filed under: uncultured bacterium
Lineage: Bacteria
Description: bacterial SSU rRNA
Rfam family: Bacterial small subunit ribosomal RNA
Source: RNAcentral
UGGGGAAUCUUGGACAAUGGGCGCAAGCCUGAUCCAGCCAUGCCGCGUGGAUGAUGAAGGCCUUAGGGUUGUAAAAUCCUUUUCGCCGAGGACGAUAAUGACGGUACUCGGAGAAGAAGCUCCGGCUAACUUCGUGCCAGCAGCCGCGGUAAUACGAAGGGGGCUAGCGUUGUUCGGAUUUACUGGGCGUAAAGCGCGUGUAGGCGGGUCGUUAAGUUGGGGGUGAAAUCCCGAGGCUCAACCUCGGAACUGCCUUCAAAACUGGCGACCUGGACCUAAGUAGGGGCAAGUGGAAUUGCGAGUGUAGAGGUGAAAUUCGUAGAUAUUCGCAGGAACACCAGUGGCGAAGGCGACUUGCUGGACUUAUGGUGACGCUGAGACGCGAAAGCGUGGGAGCAAACAGGAUUAGAUACCCACGUAGUCCCUGAG